Molecule: non-coding RNA, 45 nt
Organism: Schistosoma mattheei
Lineage: Eukaryota; Metazoa; Platyhelminthes; Trematoda; Strigeidida; Schistosomatidae
Source: Rfam
AUGCAGCUGACGAGUCCGAAACAGGACGAAACGCCCAUCUUGAAU